UGAUGGUGUCACACACAAUGCUGGGAGAUGUCAUCACGUGGUACCUCCUUCUGUGAUGUCAUUACCCAGCACCACGAUGUCUGUCU
This 86-nucleotide microRNA precursor is filed under the name Ornithorhynchus anatinus (platypus). RNAcentral describes it as "mir-1419 microRNA precursor family". It matches the Rfam family "mir-1419 microRNA precursor family". Lineage: Eukaryota; Metazoa; Chordata; Mammalia; Monotremata; Ornithorhynchidae. The record is from Rfam by way of RNAcentral.